This 440-nucleotide ribosomal RNA is filed under the name uncultured bacterium. RNAcentral's name for it is "partial 16S ribosomal RNA". It matches the Rfam family "Bacterial small subunit ribosomal RNA", at positions 339 to 795 of the family's 1533-position model. The record is from RNAcentral.
CUACGGGCUGCUGCAGUGAGGAAUAUUGCACAAUGGGGGGAACCCUGAUACAGCAACGCCGCGUGGAGGAUGACGCAUUUCGGUGUGUAAACUCCUUUUAUAUGUCAAGAAAAUGACGGUAGCAUAUGAAUAAGCACCGGCUAACUCCGUGCCAGCAGCCGCGGUAAUACGGAGGGGUGCAAGCGUUACUCGGAAUCACUGGGCGUAAAGGACGCGUAGGCGGGUUGGAAAGUCAGGUGUGAAAUCCUACAGCUUAACUGUAGAACUGCACUUGAAACUUCUAAUCUAGAGUAUGGGAGGGGGAGAUGGAAUUAGUGGUGUAGGGGUAAAAUCCGUAGAUAUCACUAGGAAUACCUAAAGCGAAGGCGAUCUCCUGGAACAUUACUGACGCUAAGGCGUGAAAGCGUGGGGAGCAAACAGGAUUAGAUACCCUGGUAGUC